This 450-nucleotide ribosomal RNA is filed under the name uncultured bacterium. Its description in RNAcentral is "partial 16S ribosomal RNA". It matches the Rfam family "Bacterial small subunit ribosomal RNA", at positions 354 to 796 of the family's 1533-position model. The record is from RNAcentral.
GUGGGGAAUUUUGGACAAUGGGCGCAAGCCUGAUCCAGCAAUGCCGCGUGUGUGAAGAAGGCCUUCGGGUUGUAAAGCACUUUUGGCAGGAAAGAAAUAGUGCGUGCUAAUACCAUGCGCGAAUGACGGUACCUGCAGAAUAAGCACCGGCUAACUACGUGCCAGCAGCCGCGGUAAGACGUAGGGUGCAAGCGUUAAUCGGAAUUACUGGGCGUAAAGCGUGCGCAGGCGGUGUUGUAAGACAGGUGUGAAAUCCCCGGGCUCAACCUGGGAACUGCACUUGUGACUGCAAGGCUAGAGUGUGUCAGAGGGAGGUGGAAUUCCGCGUGUAGCAGUGAAAUGCGUAGAGAUGCGGAGGAACACCGAUGGCGAAGGCAGCCUCCUGGGAUAACACUGACGCUCAGGCACGAAAGCGUGGGGAGCAAACAGGAUUAGAAACCCGAGUAGUCC